Molecule: ribosomal RNA, 395 nt
Filed under: uncultured bacterium
Lineage: Bacteria
Description: bacterial SSU rRNA
Rfam family: Bacterial small subunit ribosomal RNA
Source: RNAcentral
GACGAACGCUGGCGGCGUGCUUAACACAUGCAAGUCGAGCGGAAAGGCCCUUUCGGGGGUACUCGAGCGGCGAACGGGUGAGUAACACGUGAGUAACCUGCCCUAGACUUUGGGAUAACCCUCGGAAACGGGGGCUAAUACCGGAUAUUUACUGCUGAUCGCAUGGUUGGUGGUGGAAAGUUUUUCGGUCUGGGAUGGGCUCGCGGCCUAUCAGCUUGUUGGUGGGGUGAUGGCCUACCAAGGCGACGACGGGAGCCGGCCUGAGAGGGCGACCGGCCACACUGGGACUGAGACACGGCCCAGACUCCUACGGGAGGCAGCAGUGGGGAAUAUUGCACAAUGGGCGGAAGCCUGAUGCAGCGACGCCGCGUGAGGGAUGACGGCUUUCGGGUUGC